GGCGGACGGGUGAGUAAUACAUAGGUAAUCUACCUUCGAGCUUGGGAUAACCCCGCGAAAGUGGGGCUAAUACCGGAUAAGACCACGUAACCAUGUUACGGGGUAAAAGGUGGCUUAUUUUUUAAAUGAGCUAUCACUUGAGGAUGAGCCUGUGGCCUAUCAGCUUGUUGGCGGGGUAAGAGCCCACCAAGGCUAUGACGGGUAACUGGUCUGAGAGGACGACCAGUCACACUGGGACUGAGACACGGCCCAGACUCCUACGGGAGGCAGCAGUGGGGAAUAUUGGGCAAUGGGCGAAAGCCUGACCCAGCGACGCCGCGUGGGCGAUGAAGGCCUUCGGGUUGUAAAGCCCUGUCAUGCGGAAAGAACGACCCUGAGACGCAUACUCUCAGGGAGUGACGGUACCGCAGGAGGAAGCACCGGCUAACUCCGUGCCAGCAGCCGCGGUAAUACGGAGGGUGCAAGCGUUGUACGGAAUUAUUGGGCGU
RNAcentral lists this ribosomal RNA (488 nucleotides) under uncultured Actinomycetes bacterium. RNAcentral describes it as "bacterial SSU rRNA". It matches the Rfam family "Bacterial small subunit ribosomal RNA", at positions 97 to 561 of the family's 1533-position model. The record is from RNAcentral. Lineage: Bacteria; Bacillati; Actinomycetota; Actinomycetes.